GAGUUUGAUCAUGGCUCAGAUUGAACGCUGGCGGCAGGCCUAACACAUGCAAGUCGAACGGUAACAGGAAGCAGCUUGCUGCUUCGCUGACGAGUGGCGGACGGGUGAGUAAUGUCUGGGAAGCUGCCUGAUGGAGGGGGAUAACUACUGGAAACGGUAGCUAAUACCGCAUAAUGUCGCAAGACCAAAGAGGGGGACCUUCGGGCCUCUUGCCAUCGGAUGUGCCCAGAUGGGAUUAGCUUGUUGGUGGGGUAACGGCUCACCAAGGCGACGAUCCCUAGCUGGUCUGAGAGGAUGACCAGCCACACUGGAACUGAGACACGGUCCAGACUCCUACGGGAGGCAGCAGUGGGGAAUAUUGCACAAUGGGCGCAAGCCUGAUGCAGCCAUGCCGCGUGUAUGAAGAAGGCCUUCGGGUUGUAAAGUACUUUCAGCGGGGAGGAAGGGAGUAAAGUUAAUACCUUUGCUCAUUGACGUUACCCGCAGAAGAAGCACCGGCUAACUCCGUGCCAGCAGCCGCGGUAAUACGGAGGGUGCAAGCGUUAAUCGGAAUUACUGGGCGUAAAGCGCACGCAGGCGGUUUGUUAAGUCAGAUGUGAAAUCCCCGGGCUCAACCUGGGAACUGCAUCUGAUACUGGCAAGCUUGAGUCUCGUAGAGGGGGGUAGAAUUCCAGGUGUAGCGGUGAAAUGCGUAGAGAUCUGGAGGAAUACCGGUGGCGAAGGCGGCCCCCUGGACGAAGACUGACGCUCAGGUGCGAAGGCGUGGGGAGCAAACAGGAUUAGAUACCCUGGUAGUCCACGCCGUAAACGAUGUCGACUUGGAGGUUGUGCCCUUGAGGCGUGGCUUCCGGAGCUAACGCGUUAAGUCGACCGCCUGGGGAGUACGGCCGCAAGGUUAAAACUCAAAUGAAUUGACGGGGGCCCGCACAAGCGGUGGAGCAUGUGGUUUAAUUCGAUGCAACGCGAAGAACCUUACCUGGUCUUGACAUCCACGGAAGUUUUCAGAGAUGAGAAUGUGCCUUCGGGAACCGUGAGACAGGUGCUGCAUGGCUGUCGUCAGCUCGUGUUGUGAAAUGUUGGGUUAAGUCCCGCAACGAGCGCAACCCUUAUCCUUUGUUGCCAGCGGUCCGGCCGGGAACUCAAAGGAGACUGCCAGUGGUAAACUGGAGGAAGGUGGGGAUGACGUCAAGUCAUCAUGGCCCUUACGACCAGGGCUACACACGUGCUACAAUGGCGCAUACAAAGAGAAGCGACCUCGCGAGAGCAAGCGGACCUCAUAAAGUGCGUCGUAGUCCGGAUUGGAGUCUGCAACUCGACUCCAUGAAGUCGGAAUCGCUAGUAAUCGUGGAUCAGAAUGCCACGGUGAAUACGUUCCCGGGCCUUGUACACACCGCCCGUCACACCAUGGGAGUGGGUUGCAAAAGAAGUAGGUAGCUUAACCUUCGGGAGGGCGCUUACCACUUUGUGAUUCAUGACUGGGGUGAAGUCGUAACGAGGUA
RNAcentral lists this ribosomal RNA (1499 nucleotides) under metagenome. Its description in RNAcentral is "bacterial SSU rRNA". It matches the Rfam family "Bacterial small subunit ribosomal RNA". The record is from RNAcentral.